RNAcentral lists this small nuclear RNA (110 nucleotides) under Chinchilla lanigera (long-tailed chinchilla). RNAcentral describes it as "U4 spliceosomal RNA (ENSCLAG00000020539.1)". It matches the Rfam family "U4 spliceosomal RNA". From Rfam's summary of the family: U4 small nuclear RNA (U4 snRNA) is a component of the major U2-dependent spliceosome. The structure of U4 snRNA from yeast and human has been reported. Lineage: Eukaryota; Metazoa; Chordata; Mammalia; Rodentia; Chinchillidae. The record is from Rfam by way of RNAcentral.
AGCUCUGCGCAGUGGCAGUAUCGCAGCCAGUGAGGUUUAUCCAAGGCACAAUUAUUGCUAAUUGAAAAUUUUUCCCACUUGUCAUGGAACUUUUAAUAGCUUCAUUGAGG